This 253-nucleotide ribosomal RNA is filed under the name uncultured bacterium. RNAcentral's name for it is "partial 16S ribosomal RNA". It matches the Rfam family "Bacterial small subunit ribosomal RNA", at positions 524 to 776 of the family's 1533-position model. The record is from RNAcentral.
UACGAAGGGGGCUAGCGUUGUUCGGAUUUACUGGGCGUAAAGCGCACGUAGGCGGAUUGGUCAGUUAGAGGUGAAAUCCCGGAGCUCAACUCCGGAACUGCCUUUAAUACUGCCAAUCUCGAGUCCGAGAGAGGUGAGUGGAACUCCUAGUGUAGAGGUGGAAUUCGUAGAUAUUAGGAAGAACACCAGUGGCGAAGGCGGCUCACUGGCUCGGUACUGACGCUGAGGUGCGAAAGCGUGGGGAGCAAACAGG